RNAcentral lists this ribosomal RNA (496 nucleotides) under uncultured bacterium. RNAcentral's name for it is "partial 16S ribosomal RNA". It matches the Rfam family "Bacterial small subunit ribosomal RNA", at positions 28 to 507 of the family's 1533-position model. The record is from RNAcentral.
GAUGAACGCUGGCGGCGUGCCUAAUACAUGCAAGUCGAGCGAACGGACGAGAAGCUUGCUUCUCUGACGCUAGCGGCGGACGGGUGAGUAACACGUGGAUAACCUACCUAUAAGACUGGGAUACUUCGGGAAACCCGAGCUAAUACCGGAUAAUAUUUUGAACCGCAUGGUUUCAACGUGAAAGACGGUCUUGCUUUCACCUAUUUAUGGUUCCGUGCUGCAUUAGCUAGUUGGUAAGGUAACGGCUUACCAAGGCAACGAUGCGUAGCCGACCUGAGAGGGUGAUCGGCCACACUGGAACUGAGACACGGUCCAGACUCCUACGGGAGGCAGCAGUAGGGAAUCUUCCGCAAUGGGCGAAAGCCUGACGGAGCAACGCCGCGUGAGUGAUGAAGGUCUUCGGAUCGUAAAACUCUGUUAUUAGGGAAGAACAGAUGUGUAAGUAACUGUGCACGUCUUGACGGUACCUAAUCAGAAAGCCACGGCUAACUACGUG